Gopherus flavomarginatus (Mexican gopher tortoise) is the source of this 3391-nucleotide long non-coding RNA. RefSeq lists it as uncharacterized. Lineage: Eukaryota; Metazoa; Chordata; Testudines; Testudinidae. The transcript has 6 exons. The record is from RefSeq and is a predicted model, not a curated record.
GAACUAUUUCUGAAAGAACUCUUUGCAACUACAAAGCUCACCAUCUCUGCUGUGAAUCAGCUCCUCGAUGAAUUGAACUCAUGUCUCUAUGUAAAUUGAUCUUUUAACCAUAUUCUCUUUUUUUGUGUUUUAAAAUUUUUUUAGUUUAGUUAAUAAGAAUUGGCUGUAGCGCGUAUUUGAGUAAGAUCUGAAACAUUCAUUAACCUGGGAGGUAAUGUGUCCAAUCCUUUGGGAUUGGUAGAACCUUUAUAUAAUAAUGAUGAAACAAGAUUUACAGAAAUUUUCAUCAUAUUUGAUCUGGUACCUGGAUGGAGGUCUGAGGCUGGAUCACUUUAAGGGAUCUGUGUUGUUUGGGCUUCUGAGUAACCAGCAAGGUAAGAAAGAUGCUGUUUUAUGCUGGUUUGGUGAAUCUAAGUAUUGGAAUAUCCACCACCUUUAUGGGGAUUGUCUGCCCCAUUCUUUGCAGUUCACCUCAAUUGAGUGACCACAGCCAGCUUCCCACUAGGACCCUGGUCCCAGUGGCGUAGUCAUGCUUAGACACACAUUACCAUAGGUUAAUUGAGUUUUUGGAUCAGAACCACAAGCUUGUCAAAAUUUAAUUUUGAUAAUGCAGAGUUAACUGAUUUUUAAUCCUUAAUAGUGAGCAACCCAUGAUCAAGAUCCUGACAGAAAAAGCCUGGAAGAAUCGUGCUUACAGAGAGGGUUGUAUUUUAAGCAAAAGGCCCCAGAGCAGAAACUGAAAAAUGUGUUAAUUUCCCAUAAUAAGGAAGCAGACCCAGCAAAAAUGCUUGCAGUGAGAAACCAGCAGCUAGAACUUGACCAAAACCAAAAAAUAUCUGAUAUGGAAGGAGAAGCUGCUGAAUAAGAGUGCCUGUUUUGCACAUGAACAGCGAAUGACAUAUAUUUGAUUGCAGAAACUGAAAGCUAAGGCCUGAGGCUGGAUCACUUUAAUGGAACUGUGUUGUUUGGACUUCUGAGUAACCAGUAAGAAACUUGUGAGAGCACAAGAAGGACCGGCUGUCGGGAUGAAUCAGAGUUGUGUACUGAAGGAGGCUGUUGCAAAAGUUGGAAGGGGGAAGAACCACUAAGUCCAGGCUACUAUUGAUUUCUGAGGACAACAAAUGAAAAAACAGGAGUGGGAGAGAGGUCAGAGAUAAAGAAUGAGGGAUCCAGAGGGGAACGCCAAGCAGAAACCCCCCAAGAGCGCCCACUAUUCCUGAAAGGCAUGCUGGGAGCUGCUGCCAAGAAGAACUCUGCCCCAAGGUGUGAUCGGAUAAGGCACAGGAAAUAGGUCCCAGAGUCAGAGCUUCCUCCUCCUGGAAUGAUGGAUGGCUGUCUUGGUCUCUCAACUUAGUGGGGCCAUGGAUGGGGUGUGCAAAAAUCAGAAUUCCACUUGAAAAUAAUCCAUUCAGCACCUGCAGCUCCUGGGAUGAGGAGUGGCUUCUGUGUCUUGCUCAAAGAUGCUCUCUACAUCUUUGGUCAAGCAGAAUGCUACAAGAAUUAUCUUGCUUAAGGUAGUACAACGUUGGAAAACCAGAUGACCCCCACCUCCUGCAGCAUGCUUUGCUCUUGUAUAAAACCUGCUAGUAACUCUCCAUGUAUGAAGAGUUCUGGAGCAUGCCAACUUCUGAGAGGGGGAAGGUAACUCCAUAUACUAUCUAGCUCCCCCAAGGAUCUCAACAAGCAUUGCAAUAUUGCAAAGCUGAACAUGAAAUGUUACAUAUUUCAAGGGACCAAUUCUUCCUUCAUGUGCACUGUGUAACCCCUGGUCAAUGGGUUGCAGAAGGUGUAAAUGGCUGCUGACAGCUGGAACAUCCAAAGUACCAUCUUAAUAUUAGAAACAAGCAACUGCAGAAGCACUGUCAGCAAUGAUGGCUAGAUUCAUUCAGAUCUUCACUGCCUCAGCUGCAUCCUUUUGCUUUACACGAGUGAGCUCAAUAUAGCAAUUUAAAAAUCAUGCCGUUAGGGAUGGCAGAGCUUGUUUCCGAAGAGCCUGUGUGUCAGAAAAGCAGCAGUCACUUAAAGCAGAGAAAGCCUGUCUGCCCAAGCAUUCCUCUGACCUUGAGAAAAUCUGUUUGCUCAGUAGGGGAGCCCAUCAAAUGUGCUAAGCAGCAGAGUGAAGUCAUCUUUUUUGCAUGUUUCAUUCUUUAUUUUAACAUUAUCUUGUAAAUUCUGAUUGAUCAAGCAAAAGUGACAGUCCCCUCCAAUCUGUCAUAUUGACUUUUGUAAUUCGCUGGUUAACUGUUUGCAUAUGUGAAUUAUCAGCAUGGAAGGUCAUGUGUGCCUUUGAUUGCUUCACCUUGUUUGGCAACCAGACUUUUUUUGUUUUAUGCCAAAGAACAGCUCCCAGCUGAGAGCAUCUGCAGGGUGUUCACAACCAGCCGAUGCCACAAUCAUCUAGGCUGGUAUCCACCGACGCAGGAGAUGAUGAUUAUUUACCUGUGUUGCAGUGGCGCCCAACAGCCUCCCUAGCCUGGGAGCACAUUGUGCUGAAUGCCGUACGAACACGUCACCAGAGCUUACAGCCUAACGCAGAGGAGAUGGAACGAAUGUAUGUUGCAUGGGGUAGGGGGAAGAUGGAAGCCAAGGUGAUGGUGAGGAGAUCCUAUGGUCUCUUAGGCCAACAACCUGCCUGAUUUGAUGGCUCUGAUAGUUCUCUGUCCUUUUAACCCUCUGCCAAUUUACAAUUACACAAAAUGACCGCUUUCCCAGAGAGACUAAACUAAACAUUUGCUCAUGACUCCUGUCCUGCAGCCUUCUACCAGGUGCAUCCUCAUGGCAGCCAUGGAGCAGAGAGCCACAGCGAUAGGGUGACCAUAUUUCCCAAAGAAAAAACAGGACACCUCCAGCCCUCGCCCGAGGCCCCUACCAUCAGACUGUUGCCUGUGGCUAGAACCCUGUGGGGGGCCCCCUCUGGAGGCUGCUGGGCCCCUCGCUGGAACCCUGCUGGGGGGCCCUCAGGAGGCUGCCGAGCCCCUAACUAGAACCCUGCGGGGUGGUGGGAGGGGCUCAGGAGGCUGUCAGCCGCUUGCUGGAACCCUGCCGCUGGGGUGGGGAGGGAGGAAUAAACAUGGGGAAAUACACUAAAACUAAAAUAAUUUUACUAUUUCCCCAUGUUUAUUCCCCCCCCCCCACUGUUCCUCACAACUUUUUGUCAACUGCUGCAAAUGGACCAUUUUGAUUACCACUACAAAAAGUUUUUUUCUCUCCUGCUGGUAACAGCUCACUUUAACUGAUCACUCUCAUUAGAGUAUGUAUGGUAACACCCAUUGUUUCAUGUUCUGUCUAUCUAUCUAUCUAUCUACUGUAUUUUCCACUGCAUGCAUCCGAUGAAGUGAGCUGUAGUCCAUGAAAGUUUAUGCUCAAAUAAAUUUGUUAGGUCUCUAAGGUG